AACAGACGCGGUGCAAACGCCGCCCCUCCCCCAGGCCAGGACUAACCAUCCGCACAACCCCCUGCUCCAGCCCGCUCGCCCCUGCAGAACGCACUGGCUGCCGCUGCGUGGGGCUCCUGGGGAAUGCGAAGGGAGUCUGCAGAGCUCAUCUCCUCUGAGGAGAAACCACCGGCUCCUCUUUGCUUGGCAGGAGGCACAGGAGCCCCUGGCGUCGGGGGGUGAAACCACUGAGAUCCGCCACAAAACCUGAGCGCAAGAGUGAGCAGGAGGGAGAAAGAGCAGCCAGGCGCUGAACCAGAAUCCCAGGGGCUGUGCUGCAGAAUACGCUGGGCAAGGAAAAUGCUGCCCAUCUGCCUUCUCCUUGCUGCCGGGUGUCUGCCGGGGAGCCUGUCGCAGGAGGCCAGGACCGGGGAGCCGAGGAAGCCGUUCUUUGAAAGGGUCAGGAGACUCGAGGAGCAGUUUCGCCGGUUUCAGGAGGUGACCCUGCGACACCUCCAGGGGAUCGCCGGGAACUACAACAUUUCCUACAACAUCGACACUCGGUUCCGGCACCUGGCGGCUCAGCACGACACCGUCACAGCUGCCCUCAAUGCCUCGCACGCCGCCCUGCAGGAGGACCUGGGCCCUAUGAAAACCUGGAUGAAGAAGCUACAGAAAAGAACCAAGAAGUUGGCUUCCAAGCUCUCGUCUCUGGCUGGGUCCCUGGGCGACAGCCGCAAGCAGAGCUCCGGGGAGAGACUCCAGCAGAGCGCCCUCCUGUCCAACCUGACUCUGCAGACCGCCGGCCACACGGCAGAGCUCGCCGCCCUGCGUGCCAGCAGCAACACCCUGCAGAGCCAGCUGGAGAGCCUGCAGGAGGCCAGCAGGAGCCAGGGAACCCAGAUGGAGGUGCUGGAGCAGCGGCUAAAGCACAUGCUGCACAAGGAGGCCCUGGCAUCUGGGCACCAGAAGCUGGCCACAGCCCAGGAACUGAACCAGACGCCCCAGGACAAGCAGCCGGAGGCAGGGGGGAGCCAGGGCCCCGGCGUGAAGCUGAAGGCCAAGCGCAGGCAAAGGAAGAAGACCCUGGCCCAGCAGCUCCUGGCCCAGGCUGCAAACAGGGGGCUGCAGAGCAGCCUGGCCCGUGGCAGUCAGACCCCCGGCCCAGAGACACCCACCAUGCCUGAGCCACAAGCUGCCAGGCCACCGCCCCGCAGCACGACCCAGAUCUCCUACGAGCCGCUGUGGCCACCAGCACCCGAGAACCUAGGCACACUCUGCAACGUGGGUUCCAUGCUGCUUUUCCCCAACGCCUCCACGGAGAACUUCGCCGCCUUCGGCCAGGCCUUCCGGACCGGCCUGCACGAGCUGUCGGCCUGCGGCUGGGGGAGCACCCCUGCUCGCUCCCUGGGCACCAUCCUCUCCUACGCCACGGAGGAGAACGACAACAAGCUGGUCCUGCACGGCCGGAACACGGCCCCCCCGGGGGCCAUCCACUUCGUCAUCGGCGACCCGGCCUUCCGGGAGCUGCCGGUCGGGCGGCUGCUGGACGGCCGAUGGCACCACGUGUGUGUCAUCUGGUCCUCCCUCCAGGGCAAGUUCUGGUUCUACGUGGACAGGAGACUGGCGGCUCUGGGCUCCCGCUUCCAGGAGGGCUACGAGAUCCCCCCCGGCGGGUCGCUCAUUCUGGGUCAGGAGCAGGACGUGGUGGGGGGCGGCUUUGACCCCUCGGAAGCCUUUGUGGGGCGCCUGGCCGGCUUUGCCAUCUGGGACCGGGCUCUGACACCCGGGGAGGUGUCCAGCAUAGUCACGGGGAAGGGGCUGCCCCGGGGGGUCAUCCUGAGCCUGGCUGAUGUCUCCUCUCUCAAUGGAUGGGUGCAGAAAGUGAACUGCACCUGCCUGGAACACUGUGUGUAAAUCAAACCCACCCCCCCUCCCGGGGCUGUCACAGGCCUGAGCAGCCCGGACACCGGGCAGCUACCAACAGCGGUUUGUGGUGCCUGCCAGCCAGAACACUUCUCCCGCCUGCUCAGUGGGCCCAAAGCCCUUUUCUCCAUCGGAUGAGGGCUGAGGGGCGUUACGAGCGGCAAACCCCCAUCCCCCGAGGCUUUCCAUGCCGAUCGGGUGGAAACGUCAUCAGGUGAUUGCUCGUGCCCCCUCGCCGAGGCCAGAAAUCAAGGCGGCUCUCUCGAGUGCUGAGUGGUCUGGAUCCAAAGGGCGAAGCAGCCAGAGGCCAGCUCGUGUCAACACGUCACCUCGGCAUGGAGUCGCCUUUCCCAAACCCUGCACAGGGAGCCAGCAAUCGCGGCCCCUCCACCCGUGAAAUGCAGCCACCUCUGGGGAGGAUGCGGGGAGAGGCUGGGCAGCCAUUUAACAGUGCCCGGCGGUGCCACGCACCAGAUUAGGACAGGCGAGGAAAGCCUCCGACGGGAUGUAGGUAGAUAGAAAGGGACGCAGCCACCCUGCCCUUAAUACCCGGCCACAGUCAGAUCUUAUUCCUACGUCUCGUUCAGGAGCCAGCCCUGUACUAUGCUGCAGGACGGGUGUGGCCCACAGGUGGAGGGAAGUGGGCCGUCUGCUGCAACUCUCACUUCUGAUCACUCCCACUUUCCCAGGAAGGGAUCCCCUCUGAGUACCAAGCUCAGCAACCCCCCCCUCCCCUCCGGAGCUGACAUCAACCCCAGGCGCUGUAGCUGCAGAUAAGUGCAGCAGCCCCUGGGAAAGGCGCUUGGAUUAUAAUAGGAAAACCGGCUGUUUCCAGCCGGACAGUUGCUCUGCGCUUUCACGGUGAAAUGCCCAUGAAUGGAACUUGCCUUUGACAGCUAAUUCUUCCCAGCAGAGCCCAGGGAGGGGAUGGGCAGGGGAAGGAGGCCCUGGGAACGCAGUGCAGCCUGCAGUCUAGGCUGGUCAAUUUCAGCUGUGCCGCCUCCAGCCCCAGACGAUGUGUACCCAGGUCACAGAGGCUCACGCUUACGCUUGCCAGGGCUCUGGGCUUGAUGAGUAACUCGAGGAACAAUUCCAAAGCAGAACCCUUCUCCUAAGCGUUCUCCCCAGGCUGGAUCGGUCCUAGGCCUCCUUCAGGACCUCUCUGGCUUUGCCCUGAGUUCCCUCUCUCUAGGGCAGGGGUGGGCAAUAAAUGGCCCGUAGGCCGGAUGUGAUUUGCCAGGAUUAGCCAGAUGCUUUAUUGACCUGAACGUCUGUAGGUCCUGCCGGUUGCAGCUUCUCCUGGCUCUGGUUCUCCACUCCCAGCCAAUGGGGCUGCAGGAAUUGGUGGCCCAGUCCACGCCACUUCCCAUAGCUCCCAUUGGCCAGGAACGGUGAACGUGGCCAAUGGGAGCUGCGAGCCGCCGUACCUG
Molecule: non-coding RNA, 3335 nt
Organism: Pelodiscus sinensis (Chinese soft-shelled turtle)
Lineage: Eukaryota; Metazoa; Chordata; Testudines; Trionychidae
Source: RefSeq, a predicted model, not a curated record